This 465-nucleotide ribosomal RNA is filed under the name uncultured bacterium. RNAcentral describes it as "partial 16S ribosomal RNA". It matches the Rfam family "Bacterial small subunit ribosomal RNA", at positions 29 to 507 of the family's 1533-position model. The record is from RNAcentral.
AUGAACGCUGGCGGCGUGCUUAACACAUGCAAGUCGAACGGAAAGGCCACAGCUUGCUGUGGUACUCGAGUGGCGAACGGGUGAGUAACACGUGGGUGAUCUGCCCUGUACUUCGGGAUAAGCUUGGGAAACUGGGUCUAAUACCGGAUAGGAAUCACAUGUGGGUGUGUGGUUGGAAAGCUUUUGCGGUAUGGGAUGAGCUCGCGGCCUAUCAGCUUGUUGGUGGGGUAAUGGCCUACCAAGGCGUCGACGGGUAGCCGGCCUGAGAGGGUGUACGGCCACAUUGGGACUGAGAUACGGCCCAGACUCCUACGGGAGGCAGCAGUAGGGAAUAUUGCACAAUGGGCGCAAGCCUGAUGCAGCGACGCCGCGUGGGGGAUGACGGCCUUCGGGUUGUAAACUCCUUUCGUCAGGGACGAAGCGAAAGUGACGGUACCUGGAUAAGAAGCACCGGCUAACUACGUG